This 625-nucleotide ribosomal RNA is filed under the name uncultured bacterium. Its description in RNAcentral is "partial 16S ribosomal RNA". The record is from RNAcentral.
UUGAGCCCCGGGCUUUCACAUCUGACUUAACAAACCACCUGCAUGCGCUUUACGCCCAGUAAUUCCGAUUAACGCUCGCACCCUCCGUAUUACCGCGGCUGCUGGCACGGAGUUAGCCGGUGCUUCUUCUGUCGCUAACGUCAAGCAACGCCGCUAUUAACGACGCCGCCUUCCUCACGACUGAAAGUACUUUACAACCCGAAGGCCUUCUUCAUACACGCGGCAUGGCUGCAUCAGGCUUGCGCCCAUUGUGCAAUAUUCCCCACUGCUGCCUCCCGUAGGAGUCUGGACCGUGUCUCAGUUCCAGUGUGGCUGAUCAUCCUCUCAGACCAGCUAGGGAUCGUUGCCUUGGUGAGCCCUUACCUCACCAACUAGCUAAUCCCACCUAGGCAUAUCCUGACGCGAGAGGCCCGAAGGUCCCCCUCUUUGGCCCGUAGGCAUCAUGCGGUAUUAGCCAUCGUUUCCAAUGGUUAUCCCCCACAUCAGGGCAAUUUCCUAGGCCUUACUCACCCGUCCGCCGCUCGACGCCGUUAUCGUUCCCCGAAGGUUCAGAUAACUCGUUUCCGCUCGACUUGCAUGUGUUAGGCCUGCCGCCAGCGUUCAAUCUGAGCCAGGAUCAAACUCU